ACACGAGGAGCAUUUUUGGGCUUUCAUACCAAACAUGUCACCUUCUUCUCUUUUGCUAUAUCAACACAGAAGAAGAGGGUUUAGAGAGAGGAGUAAGAGAUAGAGACAGAGACAGAUUAGAGCUUCAGAGAGAGCAGACCCAUCGUCUCCAGCUGGCCACGCUCUUGGCGGUGGUGAUGGUCGGCUGGUUUUGACGCGGCAAACGGUAGAAGGCGGUGGUGGUUAAGGGUUUCGCUUCCCAUUUUUCAUUUUCUUUCGUAGUAAGAGAGAGAGAUAGAGCAGCGAUGGAUAGAGAGAGAGGAGCGGCGGUCAUGGAAAAACCGGCCAGGUCUCCGACCGGCCGCCCAUGGUGGUGGUUGACGGCGACCGUGACGGCUGUGGCUUCUAGGAUUCCGUCGAGGGUACUAGUGUCUCUCAUCGGAUGAUCUAGACACAGAAUUGGAAACUUGAAGGUGAUCUUGAACAACCGCAACGUCAGAGUAGCUACAGUGCCAGGCAGGUGCUCAUUCUCUCACUCUCUCUGUUUCUCCACCGUUGCAGCCACCAGCUUCCACCUACAAACUUACCUCCAAUGACGUCGCUGCUGCUUCAUUUUCCUCGCUUCACCUCCGGCUAUGACCGUGUGUGAUUAGGGACAGGUGCACACCAACUGUUUGAUGUUUUGUCUCAGAAAAAACUUUCGGUUGAGUUAAAUCUUAUGACUCAUUGAUGUUUCUCAAUUUAAUAAAUGAAAUUGAGCCUAGCCUGCAUGGAGUUACGAGUCAUGUUUCAUUAAGCAAACAAUCGUGUCAGUCCAUGGUUUGUUCAAAGUUAUACCUCCUUCAAAUUUUGUUAUAUAUGAGUGUACCAUUGUAGAACCUUCCUUCCUUCUUUUAAAAGAUUAUAUAAUUACACCCCCAACCAAUUGAAGUUUGAAAUUAUUAUGUCUGAAUAGAUUCGUAUUCAUUUCUCGCUACAUUCAAGUUUGGAUGAUUUUGGCCCCUUGGUUCGGCUUGAAUUAAUCGAAAAAUCAGUGGGUUGGAUGCUUACUACAAAAAAUAUUAGCAAAGGCUAUAAGAAUGAUGAAUAACAUGCUAUUCAGUUUGCCUAUUCGAAAUACACAUUAGGUGUGGACCAUCAGUCAUCUCAAAAAGAUCAAGCUUUUGUGUAUUCGCGGUCGUUUAGAACUAUGAAUCCAUUUGCUAUUUUGAAGGUGAAUAAUGUGUUUUGAGAGCACGUUUAUGUGUUUUGCGGUUUAGCGCGCUGUGUUUCAGAUCAUACCUGAACUGGCAUCAAGCAACUUUGGUGCUUAUAUAAUCUCUUUGGUGCCGUCAGACGACUUUGGUGCUUAUAUAAUCUCAAUGUCACCUCAAAAGCCCGUUAAGAGUCAUACCCUUCUUUGAAAAGCUAGCUGAUCUUAAGGUUGGACCUGCUGCCAUGGCUCGCUUAUUUUCCAUGUAGUGGUAUAAUAACCGAUCAAAUUGUAAUGGCAGUAUGGCACAAACAACAUGCCUAAUUUGUGGAAUGUCUUGUCUUUGAUUUCCAAGUGUCUGUGAUGGUCAUGUGGGUUUUUUUCCGCAUGGCAAUCGGCGUUACCCUUCAAUUUGUGGAUUUUUUUGGAAGAGCAUCAAGCUUUGGAUCUAUUGUGAUUGUUGGCUUCGAUAUUGUAUCACAUGUAUGUAUGAGUCCCUGCCAUUUUUAUUUAUCGGAUGCUUCAAUGGCUAUGAUGGUCACCUGAGCUUUCUGUUGCGAGAAUCAGUUAGCAUAUGGGUUAUGCAUAUAAGUUGUUCUUUAAAAGUGGCUAUGAUGCUUUUAAGUUUGUGAUGGUAAAUGGGCUAUGAUGUUUGCCUGAGCCCUUUCGAGAACAUAUGGCUGGUACGUUUAACUUCAGGAAUGUUUCAAGCUUAUAAAUGUUGUAAGCUGUGUUGUUUUCUUUGUAAGCUUUCCUUUGGAAGCCGCGUGUCCCGUUACCGUGUACUAUAUAACCUCACAUGUUGUUGCUGAUACUAUUGUACAUGUUGAUGUUGACUAUUUCCGUUGCUGGGUUGACUUUAGUUUUAUUAUACGACAAGUUUAAAUUUGCAGAAAUAUAUUUUUUUAGCCUUGGCAGGGCAUCCGAGAUGGUCAUGUGAACGACUUUGCUUUCACAUGGAAACCGGUUAGUGUGCAUCCAUAGCAAAUCUAUCCUCUUUCUUUGACUGUUUCCAUAUCUAAGCCCCUUUGUGUUUAUUAUUCUGUUAUGUUUUCUGGUGAUCCAUUUCUUACACAAACAUAAAGAGUACUGGUGGUUUAGCCCCCAAUAGCAUAAGAAACUUGAACAAUGCAACCAUUAUUCAUAACAAAGACAAUAGCCGCUUCGAAAAUAAUUAGUAACUGACUUUGCUUAGUGAUUACAUGAUCUUGGGCACACUUCACGACCUUUCCAGGUAUGCUUUUCUAUAGGUCUUUGUCGAGUGAUUGUGGAAUUGGAAUACAUUGGUGCAUUUCAGCGAAAUAACAAAUUAUAACCUAAUUUAGUUUUUUUUUUUCUACAUACAUGCAUCUACCAGCUUGAUUGAUUGACAGGUAUAGAAUUUUGGUGUUGGUUAUGAAUUUUGGUGCUGGUUAUGAAUUUUGGUGUUGGAACUUGCUUAUGAAUUUCGGAACUUGCUAAUCCCCAGACCUUUUCCAGUUAGAAGUUAUGGAGAGAACAUAGUUCAGAGGCUUUUGGAAAUUAAUGCAAUGGAGCUGAAAGUGAUCCCAAGGGCCACCACGAUAAGGCUGACCAAAAUGGUAAUCUCCAUAAAGAUGGUUUUAUUUUUAUCUCCAUUUUUUACUACCUUUAAAGAUGGUUUUAUUAUUGUUAGAAAGAAAAAAUGGUAAUCUGGUUUAUAGUUGGGGGACUUGGCCUCGGUCAUCAAGAUCACCAAAUGGAACAAGCUAUAUAUGAGUCAUUUAAGUUUUGUGGAUUUCAUAACUUAUGUUUAUUUAUAUGUGUUUGAAUUUAUCACCAUAAAUUAUUAACAUUAUAUACUGUAAUGUUGUUUUCAUUUUGAUUCCUUAUGAAACACGUCUGUAUGUUUUUGUAA
Helianthus annuus (common sunflower) is the source of this 3047-nucleotide long non-coding RNA. RefSeq lists it as uncharacterized. The transcript has 2 exons. The record is from RefSeq and is a predicted model, not a curated record. NCBI's taxonomy places the organism in Eukaryota, Viridiplantae, Streptophyta, Magnoliopsida, Asterales, Asteraceae.